GGUGAGUUAGCUCAAAUGGUAGAGCGCUUGCUUAGGAUGUGAGAGGUAGUGGGAUCGAUGCCUGCAUCCUCCA
This is a non-coding RNA of Gavia stellata (red-throated loon), 73 nucleotides long. The record is from Rfam. NCBI's taxonomy places the organism in Eukaryota, Metazoa, Chordata, Aves, Gaviiformes, Gaviidae.